GAUGAACGCUGGCGGCGUGCCUAAUACAUGCAAGUCGAGCGAAUGGAUUAAGAGCUUGCUCUUAUGAAGUUAGCGGCGGACGGGUGAGUAACACGUGGGUAACCUGCCCAUAAGACUGGGAUAACUCCGGGAAACCGGGGCUAAUACCGGAUAACAUUUUGAACCGCAUGGUUCGAAAUUGAACGGCGGCUUCGGCUGUCACUUAUGGAUGUACCCGCGUCGCAUUAGCUAGUUGGUGAGGUAACGGCUCACCAAGGCAACGAUGCGUAGCCGACCUGAGAGGGUGAUCGGCCAAACUGGGACUGAGACACGGCCCAGACUCCUACGGGAGGCAGCAGUAGGGAAUCUUCCGCAAUGGACGAAGGUCUGACGGAGCAACGCCGCGUGAGUGAUGAAGGCUUUCGGGUCGUAAAACUCUGUUGUUAGGGAAGAACAAGUGCUAGUUGAAUAAGCUGGCACCUUGACGGUACCUAACCAGAAAGCCACGGCUAACUACGUGCCAGCAGCCGCCGUAA
Molecule: ribosomal RNA, 515 nt
Filed under: uncultured bacterium
Lineage: Bacteria
Description: partial 16S ribosomal RNA
Rfam family: Bacterial small subunit ribosomal RNA
Source: RNAcentral